RNAcentral lists this long non-coding RNA (1319 nucleotides) under Cyanistes caeruleus (blue tit). RNAcentral describes it as "lncRNA (ENSCCEG00000012323.1)". The record is from RNAcentral. Lineage: Eukaryota; Metazoa; Chordata; Aves; Passeriformes; Paridae.
GGUGUGUUCAUUAGCCCCAGAGGGUGUUCAUUAGCCCCAGAGGGUGUUCAUUAGCCCCAAGGUGUGUUCAUUAGCCCCAGAGCACGUUCAUUAGCCCCAAGGGUGUUCAUUAGCCCCAGAGGGUGUUCAUUAGCCCCAGAGGGUGUUCAUUAGCCCCAAAGGGUGUUCAUUAGCCCCAAAGGUGUGUUCAUUAGCCCCAGAGGGUGUUCAUUAGCCCCAGAGGGUGUUCAUUAGCCCCAAGGUGUGUUCAUUAGCCCCAAAGGUGUGUUCAUUAGCCCCAAGGUGUGUUCAUUAGCCCCAAAGGUGUGUUCAUUAGCCCCAGAGGGUGUUCAUUAGCCCCAGAGCACGUUCAUUAGCCCCAGAGCACGUUCAUUAGCCCCAGAGGGUGUUCAUUAGCCCAAAGGGGCUCGCUGGGCUCUCGUGGCCCACGGACGCGCUCCGGGGCCGGAGCAGGCGCGGGCAGGAAAAGCCCUGACACGGCACAGCCCGGCCUGGGCUCCCGUGGGAGGGAAUUUACUGACCAAAAACGCUGCUUUUGGCUAAAAAAGCUGCUGGUGGUUUUCUGUGGGAGAGCUGGGGGCGCAGCCGGGUCUGUUCCAGGCUUUGAGACACGGAUGCUUCCAGAAAUGAAACCGGGGAUUCCCCUCCGAAAGGUGCCAGGAUUGGGAGGUGACAGCGUCUUCAGGCGGAUCCAGGCUGGUGGGCAUUCCCUCAGCACCUCGGGAAAUGUGGGAAGGUGGGUGAGAUCCCACCUGGGAGAAUUUCGAAGGUUGGAAGGAGGUGGAACCAAGGGAAUUAAAAGCGUUACCAGUGAUGAACAGUUGGGAGGGAAAUGAGGAAAAACAUCUUUCCUCCUGCAAAAGGGAUGAGGAGCCAUUCCUGCACUAUUGCUGAGGCCUGGAUUGUGCCCAGCUCGCAGGGGGAAUCCCAAAUGUGGCAGUAAAUCCCCUGAGCUCCAGGUGUGUGACAGAGACACCCCCGGGCUCAGCUCUGCUCCGAGCAGUGUCCACCUUGCACUCACCCACUCUCCCUUCCACUCCUUGCCUCUCGGGACACAAUUCCAACUCUGGAAUGCCCAAGUGUCUCACCCCAAUGGGGCUGACAGAAUCCAAACCCAAAAGAUUUCAUCUUAAAAAAGAACCACAUGAGGAAAAAAAUGUAUUUUGGUGCCUCGGUAGUGGAACUUCCAGCCCAGACAGGGAGAAGGAGAGGAAUAGAAAGCUCUCCUGGAUAAUUCCUGUCUCUAAGCUCCCAAGCAGCUUUAAGCACAUGCAAGAGCUGCAAAUGUCCAGAGAAUAAAUAUUUUAAAUCUGUAAACA